UAAGAAGUCAAGUGGGCAAGUGGGUAGAAAAGCACUCAAGUGUUUUGUGAUAUUUUGAAGAGUUGUGUGAGCCAUUCUAACCCCCAAAUCCGACCACUCUCCCUCUCUCAUUCACUCUCAUCUGAUUUUUGAAGACUCUCUCAAGUGUUCUCUCCAUUUUCAACCCCAAGAACACCAAAGAAACUUGGAAGCUAAGUCUUGGUCUAGGAAGGGUUUUCCCUAAGUUGGUUAGGGUUUUUGAAAGGUUUUGGAGGAGCCAAAGCUAAUAGGAAGGUCAAAACCUUAAACAAUAACACCAAAGAGGUAAGAACAAGGGCAAGGCAGAGCAGUGAGCGCUGGAGUCUUCCUUGCAAAUGUACAUGUGGACCGACCUUUUGGGAAGCCUUUUUAUUUUUGGAAAUGUUGUGUAAUUUUCCUAAACUAGGCUCACUCUAAUCUUUAUAAAACAUGUUUGUAACUAAAUGUUAAGUAUGGCCAUACGACUUUUUAAAAAGUUUUUUUUUCUAUGGGUUUUUGAGACAUUUUGUUAAAUGAAAACAUUUAUA
Long non-coding RNA from Humulus lupulus (European hop), 545 nucleotides. RefSeq lists it as uncharacterized. Lineage: Eukaryota; Viridiplantae; Streptophyta; Magnoliopsida; Rosales; Cannabaceae. The record is from RefSeq and is a predicted model, not a curated record. The transcript is spliced from 3 exons.